Molecule: long non-coding RNA, 631 nt
Filed under: Monodelphis domestica (gray short-tailed opossum)
Lineage: Eukaryota; Metazoa; Chordata; Mammalia; Didelphimorphia; Didelphidae
Description: lncRNA (ENSMODG00000040384.1)
Source: RNAcentral
AUGUCUGCUUUUUCUUAUGUUUUCAUGCAUUUUAUUGACAACUUGAACUCUCAUGAAACUUGGCUGUGUUCAUGGAUCUUUUUUUUGACAGGAGGAAGUGAAACAGGCCAAAAUGAAAAAGUGCUUAAAUGUGAGUUGUCUGACAACAAGGAGGACUUCCAGGUGCAUCAUCUGUUGAUUGAGGAAGAGGCGGAACAUCCCUUCAGUAUAACUGUAGGACUGCUGGACAGUAUAUCAUCUAUGGGAUCAAUGCUCCAGAUUGGUGUACUGAUGGCCUCUUACACAGACUUGAGGUAGUAUGGGGAAGAAGUGGAAACUUGAACUCAAGGCAGUAUGAGCCACUGGUACCUUAAAGUGAAAGAACAUUCUAGAAGGAUAGGCUUUGGGAAAUGUGGAAUGAACAGAAAAGGAACACAGGACCAAGCUUUGCUCAAGGACUAUGAAGAUUUCCCAGCAAAUUCACCAGUCAGCAGAAUAGCCUUAUGUGCAAUCAAUCCUCUUAUUUCCCUUUUUUCUGCUUACAAUGUCUCUGGUGUAAAACUCCCAAGGGAUGGGGGAUGCUGGCCACCCAUUUUGUAUUCCCUCAACUGGAAGGCUUUAAUAAACUUAAAACUUUCACAUUUGGGUUCCA